Molecule: transfer RNA, 74 nt
Filed under: Firmicutes bacterium CAG:240
Lineage: Bacteria; Bacillati; Bacillota
Also listed under: 12 other names
Description: transfer RNA-Gly(TCC)
Rfam family: tRNA
About the family: Transfer RNA (tRNA) molecules are approximately 80 nucleotides in length. Their secondary structure includes four short double-helical elements and three loops (D, anti-codon, and T loops).
Source: RNAcentral
GCGGGCGUAGUUCAAUGGUAGAACACCAGCCUUCCAAGCUGGAUACGUGGGUUCGAUUCCCAUCGCCCGCUCCA